CAAAGGUGAGCCAGUACAGGAUGGACCCGCGUCUGAUUAGCUAGUUGGUAAGGUAACGGCUUACCAAGGCGACGAUCAGUAGCCGACCUGAGAGGGUGAUCGGCCACAUUGGAACUGAGACACGGUCCAAACUCUUACGGGAGGCAGCAGUGGGGAAUAUUGCACAAUGGGCGAAAGCCUGAUGCAGCAACGCCGCGUGAGUGAUGAAGGCCUUCGGGUCGUAAAACUCUGUCCUCAAGGAAGAUAAUGACGGUACUUGAGGAGGAAGCCCCGGCUAACUACGUGCCAGCAGCCGCGGUAAUACGUAGGGGGCUAGCGUUAUCCGGAUUUACUGGGCGUAAAGGGUGCGUAGGCGGUCUUUCAAGUCAGGAGUGAAAGGCUACGGCUCAACCGUAGUAAGCUCUUGAAACUGGGAGACUUGAGUGCAGGAGAGGAGAGUGGAAUUCCUAGUGUAGCGGUGAAAUGCGUAGAUAUUAGGAGGAACACCAGUUGCGAAGGCGGCUCUCUGGACUGUAACUGACGCUGAGGCACGAAAGCGUGGGGAGCAAACAGGAUUAGAUACCCUGGUAGUCCACGCUGUAAACGAUGAGUACUAGGUGUCGGGGGUUACCCCCUUCG
RNAcentral lists this ribosomal RNA (618 nucleotides) under uncultured bacterium. Its description in RNAcentral is "bacterial SSU rRNA". It matches the Rfam family "Bacterial small subunit ribosomal RNA", at positions 202 to 842 of the family's 1533-position model. The record is from RNAcentral.